ACUACGGGAGGCAGCAGUGGGGGAUAUUGCACAAUGGGGGAAACCCUGAUGCAGCGACGCCGCGUGGGCGAAGAAGGAUUUCGGGAUGUAAAGCCCUAUCAGCAGGGAAGAAGAAAUGACGGUACAUGAGUAAGAAGCAGGGGCGAAAUAAGUGCCAGCAGCCGCGGUAAUACGUCUGGGGCAAGCGUUAUCCGGAGUUACUGGGGGUACAGGGAGCGCAGGCGGGACGGCAAGCCUGAUGAGAAAGCCCGCGGCCCAACCGGGGGACUGCAUUGGGAACUACCGGGCGGGAGUGCCGGAGAGGUAGUCGGUCUUCCUAGUGUAGCGGUGAAAUGCG
RNAcentral lists this ribosomal RNA (337 nucleotides) under uncultured bacterium. RNAcentral describes it as "partial 16S ribosomal RNA". It matches the Rfam family "Bacterial small subunit ribosomal RNA", at positions 338 to 690 of the family's 1533-position model. The record is from RNAcentral.